AGGAUGAAGAUGGGAUCUGUGCUCCUCAAAGCCCAUAAGAGAUCUGCCAGAAAGCGUGCCACAAUGCACAACGCCGUCGUUUGGGCCCUGCCUCCUGAUCUUACUACCAAAUUUUGUGUCGAUUGAUUUAUUUUUUUGGGGGGUUUGGGUUUGGGUUUCGGUCAUUUGUUCGGUUGGAGUGCACAAAACUCUUUAACGGUUUACCUGGAACACUGGAUAUGGAGUCUACUAUUGUGAUCAAGAGUUCUUUACAGAGGGUGCAAUCUAAAUGUUACUUGCCAGAAUGCAUAAAUUCUCAGCUGGCUCAGUGAUAGAGUUUACAUGGGCUAUCCUCAAUUUCCCACAAUCCCAUUGAUUUGUAUUUUGUGCCUUACUGAUAGCCGACUACAAACCUCUAUUUUGAUUAAGGUAGGAGGAACUACGGACAAUCUUGAAUAAAGUUGUGCAAAGUUUGCUACUUGAGCCUUACCCGUCAGAUUGAUAGUUGCUUAGAAGGCUGCCUUGUGUUAGCUAGAAUGAAGGAGUAUCGUUCAAUGUUCAGUGUUCCAUGGAAAGAUCAGAGUAAGACAAAAAAGUGAAGUUGUAUCUUCCUCUUGCUACUGCUGCUCCUCUUCCUGUUGGAGUAAUUACCCAAGCUAUGCGACGUGUCAAUAUGGCUCCAAGAAUUCUUUCGGAAGGGCUAUUUAAGGAAAGGACGUGUAUUAGAGGUGAUGGAAAGAUAUGACGAUUUAACAUGCAUAUGGAGUUUCCCAGUUGGACUAAAGUGAAGAACAUGUUCAUCGUGCUUCAAUAUUCUUUGUAGCUAGAACAAGUAUUUCCUAUUUACUUUCAAACAUUCAUAUUAGUAUUUCGGGUGCAAUUUCUAGAUAUGUUGCUUAUAUUCUCCAUGUGCAGGUGGGGUUUUGGCUCCUUCAAUUAGGAUCAUCAUUCUCUCAAGUAUAUCUAACUCAAGGUACACAUUUCUAGCCCCCCUUAUCUGCAAGAGACGACCAAGAUAUAUGUGUUCGGAAAAUAUAUUCUAGCUUUGAGCAUCCGGUUCCGCCAAUGUCGUUUUCAUGUUUGAAAAGUUAAUUUGUGAACCAAAGUAGUGUCCAAAAGGUGUUUACUUCAUCAGUCACUUGGAAAAGCAUUUUUGUUCAUGCUUUGGAUUGGAUGAAUUAGAAAAGAAUAUGAUUUCCUGGAAUGCAUUUCAAUAGCAAAGAUGAAUUAGUAGCUAAAAGUAGCAGGCCCUUUUAAAAGAAGUAAAUUGCAUUCAUAUAAUAGUUGUAAUGUUAGGGAUUAGUGGUUGAUCGAGAUGAAGUCACUAUUGGAUAUACUGCAAUAGUGUUACAUGUCAAGUUGAUUUGUCUCUAUGAGUUUGUCCUGGAUUUGCUUGUUAUGCAUGAGCUUUAAUUUCGCAAUCAAUUGUACAAAUAAUCUUGGGUUUGCUAGGGGUUCGGCACUGGGCUCUAUGUUUGGAUACUGAGAAAAAAUGGAGGGGAAAAUAGAAGUGAAAUUUCAAGGUAUCGAUUGUAUUAGAUAUUAAACCUGUCAAGUGGAGAAUUUUUUCCCCUCCAUCCCAUGUUCUAGGCAACCAAACAGAAAGGGGUUGUAAAUUUUCUUGAUACCCGGUCUGAAAAAAAAUGCAAAUUAUGUUAGAAACCGCGAAUCUCACAACCUCUCUCUCUCGCGCACUUUAAUGAACUGUCUCGAAUACUUACUGAAGAGAAUUCAGGUCAAACAACAAAACAAUUCCAAGUACUUGGGUUUUUAGUCCCUUUGGCAGCUUAAUUUCUGUACAAGGGAUGAUAUUUGAGCUAAUUCUUAUGGUGAUCGUCAUUUUACUGGUACAUGUCUUCCAGCUGUAUGGGUGAAAACUACCGAGGAAGCAACCCUACUUGAUGUCAACUUGCUUGUAUGCCUAUUGAAACAAUGAUUGAUAUUCAGGAUACCAUUGUGAUGACAAACUUCAUCAUAUGAUGUUUUCAAGUUCUACCUUAGCUAUGGGAUACAGAAACCAUACAAACAUCAAGUUCUGAGUGUAAAAUAUUUACUGUAGUUUGUUCAGAAUUUGUUAGUGUUGAAGUGUUUGUGCUUCAUUUUCUUAUUUCUGUUGAUUUACAUCUUUUUCUACGCCCAUUCACAUUUAUAUCUUACUGUGGAUAGGCCUUUUGCAAGCAUAAAUAUAACCUACUUAUAUACAGAAAACUAUACAUCAAACUAAAAUAUCCUAUAUCCCAACGAAAUUAAAAAUCGAUCAAUUCAACGGGCAUGGCACACGUGCCUUGCACGUUGCAAAGUACCUAGUUGUUGAAUA
This is a long non-coding RNA of Rhododendron vialii, 2296 nucleotides long. RefSeq lists it as uncharacterized. NCBI's taxonomy places the organism in Eukaryota, Viridiplantae, Streptophyta, Magnoliopsida, Ericales, Ericaceae. The transcript has 8 exons. The record is from RefSeq and is a predicted model, not a curated record.